Long non-coding RNA from Gossypium arboreum, 867 nucleotides. RefSeq lists it as uncharacterized. Lineage: Eukaryota; Viridiplantae; Streptophyta; Magnoliopsida; Malvales; Malvaceae. The record is from RefSeq and is a predicted model, not a curated record. The transcript is spliced from 3 exons.
UCUGUCAAAAGUGGAAAAAAAAAAAAGCAAAAUAUCAUUCUAGAAUUAUAUCCAGUCACAAUGAAUAAACUGGCAACCAUCUUCAUUUCUGAAAACAACAUUUCCAUGUCGAUUCCAGUUCCCCGAGGUGACCAAAUGAUGCUACCAAAAUGAAACCCCAGAUCUCAGCAUCUUCUCCAUCGAUUGAGUUCCUUCCGAUCCCUAUUCAAGCUCCCUUUCUCUUUGUAUUUCCAGAUCCCCAAUCUCACUGCCCGAGUGCAUGCACAACCUUCAGCAGUAAACGGAGAUGUAAUCUCUUUCCCAAAGUUGCAUGUGAAACCACGCCUCUAUUGUUUCUAGCAACCAACCAAGAUGUCGAUCGGAACUGAUGGCGAUUGUAGGCCAAGUUAAAGUUAAUGCGAACAAACCCAUCCUCUGGAGGUCUCCAAGUCACAGACAUAUUCUGUUUAGUUAGAUUCCUAGCCUCCAACUCUUCAAUUUCCUAGAUAUAUUUGAAAAUCUGUUCAGCUAUUCCUCUACCCGAAGUAUAUUUUCAUUCGUCUACUCUUCUAUUUCUUUCAGUCGAGAUUACCCAUAUCGCGCAACAAAAGAAUUGGCAUUGAUAGCUCGAGGCUCUUUGAAACACCCAGGGUAGUCUCUAAAAACAUGGCCAGUGGUCUCCACCCCCUCUUUUACUUGGGCAGAUUAUGUUCACUCGCAGCUUUUUAUGUUGUUGAUUAACUAGAGUUGGUAGAAAAUUUCAGGAAACUUUCCAUAGGGUAAUUUUAUGUUUUGCCGUAAGCUUAAGGGUCCAAAGUCUUCUGUAAAAUUUAAUCAUGUCAUUCUGUAACUCAAUAGAAUUAUGAUUAGUUGUAUGUUCAAGUAAAA